This 490-nucleotide ribosomal RNA is filed under the name uncultured bacterium. RNAcentral's name for it is "bacterial SSU rRNA". It matches the Rfam family "Bacterial small subunit ribosomal RNA", at positions 28 to 507 of the family's 1533-position model. The record is from RNAcentral.
GAUGAACGCUAGCUACAGGCUUAACACAUGCAAGUCGAGGGGUAACGAAAGGGAAGCUUGCUUUCCUUGUCGACGACCGGCGCACGGGUGAGUAACGCGUAUCCAACCUGCCCACAACUAAGGAAUAACCUUGCGAAAGUAAGACUAAUACCUUAUAAUUUCCUCUGAAGGCAUCUGACGAGGAAUAAAGAUUUAUCGGUUAUGGAUGGGGAUGCGUCUGAUUAGCUUGUUGGCGGGGUAACGGCCCACCAAGGCAACGAUCAGUAGGGGUUCUGAGAGGAAGGUCCCCCACAUUGGAACUGAGACACGGUCCAAACUCCUACGGGAGGCAGCAGUGAGGAAUAUUGGUCAAUGGGCGAGAGCCUGAACCAGCCAAGUAGCGUGCAGGAAGACGGCCCUAUGGGUUGUAAACUGCUUUUAUACAGGAAUAAAGUUAGCCACGUGUGGUUAUUUGUAGGUACUGUAUGAAUAAGGACCGGCUAAUUCCGUG